Mesocricetus auratus (golden hamster) is the source of this 393-nucleotide long non-coding RNA. RefSeq lists it as uncharacterized. Lineage: Eukaryota; Metazoa; Chordata; Mammalia; Rodentia; Cricetidae. The transcript has 3 exons. The record is from RefSeq and is a predicted model, not a curated record.
UAGAAUUCUCCAGCACCAUGUCUGCCUGCAUGCCACCAUACUCCCAGCUUCCAUGCUCCCCAUCGUGAUGAUACUGGACUGAAACUGAAACCUCUCAAACUUUUUUUUCCUCAGGUAUCUUGAUCACAAUCACCCGAAAGCAGCUGACACAGGAACCCCAUGAUGUCCCCAGAGGCUAUCACCAGUAUAACAUGCAAGAGGAGAGUGAAGGAGGAAGACAGACCUACUGACAUCUAGUAAAUGCAGGACAGAUACUGUUGAACAUCUGGGAACACAUGGAACAUGGAGCGAUGACCUAAUCAAUAAAGGCACUUGCUGCCAAACUGGAUGACCCACACAGUGGCAGGAGGGAAACUGACUCCCUUGAGUUGUCCUCUGGCUUCCACUCAAGUG